RNAcentral lists this ribosomal RNA (465 nucleotides) under uncultured bacterium. RNAcentral describes it as "partial 16S ribosomal RNA". It matches the Rfam family "Bacterial small subunit ribosomal RNA", at positions 28 to 507 of the family's 1533-position model. The record is from RNAcentral.
GACGAACGCUGGCGGCGUGCUUAACACAUGCCAGUCGAACGGAAAGGCCCCUUUGGGGGUACUCGAGUGGCGAACGGGUGAGUAACACGUGUGUAACCUGCCCUUGACUUCGGGAUAACUUCAGGAAACUGGGGCUAAUACCGGAUAGGAAUCCUUGCUGCAUGGUGGGGGUUGGAAAGCUUCGGCGGUUUUGGAUGGACUCGCGGCUUAUCAGCUUGUUGGUGGGGUAGUGGCUUACCAAGGCUUUGACGGGUAGCCGGCCUGAGAGGGCGACCGGCCACAUUGGGACUGAGAUACGGCCCAGACUCCUACGGGAGGCAGCAGUGGGGAAUAUUGCACAAUGGGCGGAAGCCUGAUGCAGCAACGCCGCGUGCGGGAUGACGGCCUUCGGGUUGUAAACCGCUUUCAGCAGGGGCGAAGCUUGUGGUGACGGUACCUGCAGAAGAAGCACCGGCUAACUACGUG